UCCCACCAAUGAUAUUGGCCCUAAAAAGGACAUACUAAAAAAAAAGUUUGAACCUGGAGAUGUUGUGGAUGUGAUUUAUGAAGAGGAAAGUUCCCCAGCCACAGUUAUAGAUAUUGAUGAGAGCAAAGAAACCCUCAGGAGGAGGAUGUUCAGGCUAGAGGGGAAAAGAAAAAGUCAGCCAUGUUUGCAAAAUGAUGCAAAAAGAGUGGCAAAGAAAAAAAAAACUUACACUCCAACUCAGUCCCCUUCUCACUCAUCAUCUGAUCAAGAGCCUCUGGUCAAACAUCAAGUCAUCCGCAGAAAGGAUAGUAUUUUAAUGCAGGAAAUAAACAACAUGGACCGUGAAGCUGGAGAGCCUUCAAGCCGAGAAACUCGACUUGAGAAAGAAAUUCUCAAAUUAAAAAAAGAAAAUGAAAAUCUAAGAGCACUUAAUAUAUCUCUGCAACAAGAAAUUCUUCCAAUGCUCAAGUGCAUGAAACAGGACACUCUUA
This is a long non-coding RNA of Rhinichthys klamathensis goyatoka, 491 nucleotides long. RefSeq lists it as uncharacterized. The transcript is spliced from 4 exons. The record is from RefSeq and is a predicted model, not a curated record. NCBI's taxonomy places the organism in Eukaryota, Metazoa, Chordata, Actinopteri, Cypriniformes, Leuciscidae.